CCUCCGGCGGCACCGCAGCUGGGCUUCCGGCAAGUGAGACAGAGUCAAGCCCCAAGCAGCGUGAGGGGGGAACCGCUGGGACUGGACACUGCCCAGCAGCCAGCUGGCUGGCCCUGCCCCGCCCGCCGGAGCGGCAUCUCUGGCCUGUCCAGAUCCUUCCUCUAUGUCCUCCCUCACAAACAUUUAUUGAGGCCCUACUAUGGGCAAGGCACCCAGGGAACCAAGAUGGGUCAGGUACACAUCUUUCCCUCAAAGAGCUCACAUCCUGGUUGGGGACAUAAGACACGUACAUGAAUAAGGCAGAAAAGGUAAGAGCUAUAGGAGAGACGAGAAAAAGCACUUUGUGGGCACCCCACAGAGAAAUGCAAGUCCAGCAGUGUUCGAACAGAUGGGUUUGAAUGCACCCCACAUUGCUUGGCCUUUACGAACCUCAGUUUUUAAAUCUACGGAAUGGAAAUCAUGUCUGCUUUCUUGAACUCAUAAGGUUAUAAAGAUUGAAUAUGUACAAAAGACACUUGAAAACUGUACAGCACUGCCCAGGGGCAAGCUGUGAUGAGGCUGGGAUUAUCAGACCAGCUAGCAUUUCUCUGAACUUCCUGGCCUGGAAUUCUGGGAGCCAGAGGGAGCCAGGGAUCUGAGUAGGGCGUUCACGACAGCAGCAAGGCCAAGGCUAGACCCUGAGCCUGCCCUUCCCCUUCAAGAAGGCAGCCUCGCUCAGCUCCUGGCUGGCGCAUCCACUCUUCAGCUGAUAUUUAUUGCCUUUUUUUUAUUGUGCGUAUAAAGCACUAUCCGAGGGGCUGCAAGGAAGGAUAGACAGGAAAUCUGAAUCCAACCCCCACCACGCCUAUCAGCAAUUAGAGAGGUAAGAUAUUUAUGCAUAAGCUAUAAUUAACGGUGCAGAGCAGUACUAGGCUAGCAAGUUCGCCUUAGAAAGGGAGCUCUAGGAGAGCAGAGGAGGAGGGCUCUGGGGUGGGGUCACCAGCAAAAAAUUCUGGGAGGAGCACAGGACUUUAAAAGGGGACUGGAUCAGAGAGAUCAGAGGGGGCUUCCCAGACUGAGAGUGGGGGGCGGCGUGAGGAAAGCCACAGGAAGGCAAGUGCAGUGGCCAGACUGGGAGCUGACCUCUCAGGCUGGAGUGGCCACUUCCUGUGAGGGAAGGGGGCGGGGAUGAGGCUGGAGGCUGGGGCUGAGUGCGGGUUGCGGGGGCGGUGGGGGGGGUGUUUGAAUGCUGAGCGAGCAAGCUUAAUCUUUCACUUCAAGGCAGGGGGAGCUGGUGAAGCUGUCAGCAGAGUGCAGGGGUGAAGUCAGGGAAUGUCCCCAAUGGACGGAGGUGUGCAGGGGGCCUGGAGGUGUUGGGGAGUGGGAGGAAGACCAUAAGCAAGGUAAUCAGUUUGGGGCCACGUAGCCGCUGGAGUGAGCUAAAGGCUACUGGAUCCCUGAAAUGUGCUCAGGUGGGGGGUGAGACCCUCCCUCCCCCGAAAGAUGCAGCACUGUGUACACAUUUCUUUUUCGUUUUUGGAAGGAGUUCGUGGGCUGAGUGGCCUGACU
This is a long non-coding RNA of Ursus thibetanus thibetanus, 1548 nucleotides long. NCBI's taxonomy places the organism in Eukaryota, Metazoa, Chordata, Mammalia, Carnivora, Ursidae. The record is from Ensembl.